Molecule: ribosomal RNA, 1302 nt
Filed under: Petrobiellus sp. 2 JZ-2014
Lineage: Eukaryota; Metazoa; Arthropoda; Insecta; Archaeognatha; Machilidae
Description: 16S ribosomal RNA
Rfam family: Bacterial large subunit ribosomal RNA (bases 857-1256)
Source: RNAcentral
AGUUUAAUUUGAUUAAAAUUGAGAUAUGUAUAUAAAAUUUUUGUUUAAAGUAUUAUGUUGUUUGUUUUAGUAAUUGUUUAGAACUAAUAAUUGUUAGUAAGUAUUGUUAGAGAUUAAUUGAAAUAAUUUGAAAGGUAAAUUUAUUGGUUAGCAAUUUUUUUUUGUACCUUUUGUAUCAGGGAUUUAUGAUUUUAAUUAUUUAUUGUAUUUAUCCCGAAGGAUUUUGAUUUAUAUAUAUGUAAAGAUUAUUGUUGCAAUAUUUAUAUAUUUAAUAUAUGUAUGGUAGUUAAAAGUUAUUCGUAGAAUUAGAUUUCUGGUUGUUUAAGAAGUAAAUUUAAUUUAGAGAUGUUGUUGGUUGUAAAUUAUAUAUUUAAUUUAUACUAGAGUAUUUUAUUAAAUAUUAGGGGAUAAGCUCUAAUAUUAUUUUAUGAUUAUUUGAAUAUUAUAAGAAUUUAUUUAGGAUUAGAAGUUUCUAUUAUUUUUAAUUGUGUUAUAAUUUAAUAAUUUGGUGUUAAAAAUUUAUUUAUUAAUCUAAUGUUUUAUUAAACUUUUUAAAUAAAUGAUUUUAUUUAUAGUAAUUUUGUAAGUAUUAGUAAAAUAUAUGAAGUGUAGUUUAUUAUAAAUUUAUUGAAUAUUAUUUUAAGGAAUUCGGCAAAUGUAAUUUUCACCUGUUUAUCAAAAACAUGGCUUCAGUAGAAUUUAUUUAUGAGGUCAGGCCUGCCCACUGAAAUAUUUGAAUGGCCGCGGUAUUUUGACCGUGCAAAGGUAGCGUAAUCAUUUGUCUUUUAAUUGAAGGCUGGAAUGAAGGGUUUUAUGAAAAGUUAGCUGUCUUGGGAUAAUUUAUUGAAUUUGAUUUUUUAGUGAAAAAGCUCAAAUAAUUUUGGAGGACGAUAAGACCCUAUAGAUCUUUAUAGUAUGUAGUUUAAUUUUUAUUAGAAAAUAUUUAAUUUUAAUUUGUUAUAUUAUUGUGUUGGGGCGAUAGAAGAAUUUAAUUAACUUUUGUAAAAAAUUUAUUUUAGUAUAUAUAAUAGUGUUAGUUGAUCCUUUAAGAAGAUUUGAAGUCUAAGUUACCUUAGGGAUAACAGCGUAAUCUCUUUUGAGAGUUCUUAUCGAUAAAGGGGAUUGCGACCUCGAUGUUGGAUUAAAAUUUUCUUUUUAAUGUAGCAGUUAAUUAGGAUGGUCUGUUCGACCAUUAAAAUUUUACAUGAUCUGAGUUCAGACCGGUGAGAGCCAGGUUGGUUUCUAUCCUCAAAAAUUUUGUAUUUUAUUAGUACGAAAGGACCAUGAAGUAGAAAUAGUUUU